This 254-nucleotide ribosomal RNA is filed under the name uncultured bacterium. RNAcentral's name for it is "partial 16S ribosomal RNA". It matches the Rfam family "Bacterial small subunit ribosomal RNA", at positions 524 to 776 of the family's 1533-position model. The record is from RNAcentral.
UACGGGGGGGGCAAGCGUUGUUCGGAAUUACUGGGCGUAAAGGGCUCGUAGGCGGCCAACUAAGUCAGACGUGAAAUCCCUCGGCUUAACCGGGGAACUGCGUCUGAUACUGGAUGGCUUGAAAUUGGGAGAGGGAUGCGGAAUUCCAGGUGUAGCGGUGAAAUGCGUAGAUAUCUGGAGGAACACCGGUGGCGAAGGCGGCAUCCUGGACCAACACUGACGCUGAGUGAGCGAAAGCCAGGGGAGCAAACGGG